GAUGAACGCUAGCGGCAGGCCUAACACAUGCAAGGUCAGGGGUAACAGAAUAGCUUGCUAUUGCUGACGACCGGCGCACGGGUGCGUAACGCGUAUACAAUUUGCCUUGUACUGGGGGAUAGCCCGGAGAAAUCCGGAUUAAUACUCCAUGGUAUUCAUGAUUCGCAUGUUUUAUGAAUUAAAGCCUUCGGGUGGUACAAGAUGAGUAUGCGUCCUAUUAGCUAGAUGGUGUGGUAACGGCACACCAUGGCAACGAUAGGUAGGGGGCCUGAGAGGGUUUUUCCCCACACUGGUACUGAGACACGGACCAGACUCCUACGGGAGGCAGCAGUGAGGAAUAUUGGUCAAUGGAGGCAACUCUGAACCAGCCAUGCCGCGUGAAGGAAGAAUGUCCUACGGAUUGUAAACUUCUUUUAUUUGGGAAGAAACUUCUCUACGUGUAGAGAACUGACGGUACCAAAUGAAUAAGCACCGGCUAACUCCGUG
Molecule: ribosomal RNA, 486 nt
Filed under: uncultured bacterium
Lineage: Bacteria
Description: bacterial SSU rRNA
Rfam family: Bacterial small subunit ribosomal RNA
Source: RNAcentral